GGCCGGGCCGGGCGGCCAGAAGGGCUGGAUUUGGAGGAGCUGGUGGCGGCGGCUGUAGAGGGGCCAGCCUGCUGGGCGCCCCGUAGUUCCCCACGAGGACCCGCAGGGGCUGCAGCGGUUGCAGGAGCUGCUGCACUAGCAGCAGCGGGCAGGGCAGGGCAGUUCUGUUCUGUCCUCCCCUCCCCGGGAACCCCGGGCCACCAGCAGCCGCAGCCCCUGCAGCCCCGGCUGCACGGACACCGACCCCCCGGAGGAGGAGGAGGAGGAAGAAGAGGAAGAGCAGCCGCCUCAUCCUGCGGCAUCAGGGGAGCCUCACGGCCGCAGGUGGCAGUGUGGAAGCCAAGAAUAAGAAUUGGCAGAAGUUAACAGUUCUGUUCUCUGAGGAAAGUCAUCAACCUGACUAAGCCCGGGAACCCCGAAAAACCACAGCGCAGAGCCGAAGCGGCUUGAAGCAGAAAGAAAACAACAGAGGGAGGAGAAGUUCCACGAUCUGGAUUUACUUGCGGGACCGUGGAAGUGUUGCCAGAGAAGAGCAAGAAGACAAAGGCUCCAAUCAGGUGAUCAGCUGAUGACUAAAUUUCCAGCCCACUACGAAGAUAACUUCAGAACCCAGGAAUGAAAUGCUGAGAGCUUCUGACUUUGGAGAAGCACCGUCGAGAGAGCGUUCCUUGCAGAGUGAAACAAAGGCUUUUUUAUAAUCCGGUUUAUCUAGCUGGGAAGAGGGUGGUUUUUUGUUUUGUUUUGUUUUUUUUAGCUAACAGAAGCUGCAGCGUUCUGUCACCAGGAAAUACUGCUUUAUUCAGAAUGGAAUCUUGAACAGACAACGUGAGAAGCGGUGCGGCCCAGUGGAAAGAGCAUGAUCCUAGAAGAACUAAACCGAUGGAUUUAGUAGGUGGGACAGGUCUCGACAGGCCUUGGCCCUCGAGGAGAACCUUUCAACGGGAGCCCUGAGAAGAUAAGGUCCUGUCUUGUUGGGAACAGUCUCUGAUGACUUCAGGCAACAUUUACCGGGGAGGUAAUGACCUGCAGUUACCUGCUCUUGGGAUCUGGUGUCGGGAGCAGUUGCUGAAUGGAAGGCGCUCCGAGACGAGCCAAGAACAGAAUUUCCAGUCAAGUCUCCCGUCUGAGCAGCCAGCCACUGGGUCUGAAGGAUUCCGUCGCUUCUGUGGGGACAGGGGGCGGGGCUUGAAAGGCUUCGGGUUGAGAAGGAAUAGAGGGGUGGACAGAUAGAGGGGAAGACUGGAGUAGGGGCAGAGGGAGGAGAAGAAGGGAGAGAACAAAGGAAGAGAAAGGGGGAAGGAAAAGUGAAAGGAAGGUGUUCACCUCCGUCUUCACUGACGGUCUUCUGGGGCCAUUCUGAGCUCUGGUUUUGGAUGACAAGGACGUGGUGAAGACACACUCUGUCCCCGCCCCGUUCUCUGCCUCCACAAGCUUUCUGCGAUGAUUCCCUUGAAGUGGUGCUAUGGCAGAAGACCCCUUAUCUAUUUAUCUAAACGUUGCUAAAACAUCUCCUGCCCUGGUGAUGAGGAGCUCUGUACAAGUACCCACCGGGCAUGCAGCUUCCCACAUGGGGAAUGCAUGCCCACAUGGACUUUCUUCUGUUCUUUUGCCAGCUCUUUCCUGCGGCGUUGGGCCAGAGAGUUGAGGGUAGGGAUGGUGCCCGUGAACUCUAUUGUGCUGUACUCUCCCAAGUACCCAGUACAGAGCUCUGCACACAGUGAACGCCUGAUAAACACCAGAGAUUGACUGACUGGCUGCAGGAGCGAUGGAGCAGGGUGUGGCGGGCUGCCUUUUCCCUCUCUUUUUUUGUUUUUAAUGCAAUCUGUAAAGUGUU
Long non-coding RNA from Ornithorhynchus anatinus (platypus), 1834 nucleotides. RefSeq lists it as uncharacterized. The record is from RefSeq and is a predicted model, not a curated record. Lineage: Eukaryota; Metazoa; Chordata; Mammalia; Monotremata; Ornithorhynchidae. The transcript is spliced from 8 exons.